AAUAGCUUUGAGAAAGAAUUUUAUAAGCUUCUUAACAAUGCUAUGUUUGGAAAAACAAUUGAAAAUAUAAGAAAACGUACUAAUCUUGAACUGGUAACUGAUUCCAGAAAAGUAGAAAAACUUGUUUCUAAACCUGGGUUCAAGAACAGAAUUGUCUAUGGUGAGAAUAUUUCAGCCAUUGAAAUGGUAAAGGAUAAAUUGUAUUUUAAUAAACCAAUCUAUAUAGGUUUUACUGUUCUUGAAUUAUCUAAAUUGCAUAUGUAUGAUUUUCACUAUAAUGUAGUUAAACCUUUUUAUUCCAAUAAGAUUGUUAACGUACUUUAUUUAGAUACAGAUUCCUUUUUUUAUGAAAUAUUCACUCCUGAUGUGUAUGAGGAUUUCCUCAACCCAAACUUAAAGUGCUUUCUUGAUUUGUCCGACUACCCUAAAGAUCAUAAAUGUUAUGACGAGACAAACAAGAAAACUCUAGGAAAAUUCAAAGAUGAAUGUGUAAGUAUUCCUAUUUUAGAAUUUAUAGGUUUGAAACCUAAAUUGUACACAUAUACAACUAUGAAUAAUGAAUAUCUUACAACAAGUCAGGGUCAUAGAUUGAAAAAAGCCAAAGGUAUAACAAAAUCAGUUGUAGAUAAAAAAAUUCACUUUAGUGAUUUCCUGAACUGUUUGAAUAAUAAAGUCAAUUUAAGAUGUGAUGUAACAUUAUUUCAAUCAAAAAAACAUAAUAUCAAAACAUUAUCAGUAAACAAAUUGGCAUUAAAUUAUGAUGAUGACAAAAGGAGUGUUUGUGAAGAUGGCAUCAAUACAAUUGCUUAUGGACAUUACCAACUAAAAUGAUGUUAACAAUAUACAUUCACCUGUUGUUAUGUAAAUAUUGUAAAUAAAACUGAUUGUAUACUAAUAA
Long non-coding RNA from Homalodisca vitripennis (glassy-winged sharpshooter), 898 nucleotides. RefSeq lists it as uncharacterized. The record is from RefSeq and is a predicted model, not a curated record. Lineage: Eukaryota; Metazoa; Arthropoda; Insecta; Hemiptera; Cicadellidae. The transcript has 2 exons.